AUAUCAAUAAGCGGAGGAAAAGAAACCAACCGGGAUUGCCUUAGUAACGGCGAGUGAAGCGGCAAAAGCUCAAAUUUGAAAUCUGGCUCUAUUUUGGGGUCCGAAUUGUAAUUUGAAGAAGCGACUUUGGACCUGGCUCUUGUCUAUGUUCCUUGGAACAGGACGUCACAGAGGGUGAGAAUCCCGUGCGAUGAGAAGCCCAGGUUCGUGUAAAGCGUUUUCGACGAGUCGAGUUGUUUGGGAAUGCAGCUCUAAGUGGGUGGUAAAUUCCAUCUAAAGCUAAAUAUUGGCGAGAGACCGAUAGCGAACAAGUACAGUGAUGGAAAGAUGAAAAGAACUUUGAAAAGAGAGUGAAAAAGUACGUGAAAUUGUUGAAAGGGAAGGGCUUGAGAUCAGACUUUGUUUUUCCAUGGCGCUCUUUCGGGGGUGUCCUCUGGGUCUACAGGGCCAGCAUGGGUUUUGCGGGCGAGACAAGGACUCAGGAAUGUGGCUCUGCUUCGGUGGAGUGUUAUAGCCUGGGGUACUGGUCGCCAUGCGGGACCGAGGACUGCGGUACUAGGAUGCUGGCAUAA
This 572-nucleotide ribosomal RNA is filed under the name Suhomyces anneliseae. RNAcentral's name for it is "eukaryotic LSU rRNA". It matches the Rfam family "Eukaryotic large subunit ribosomal RNA", at positions 40 to 633 of the family's 3401-position model. The record is from RNAcentral. Lineage: Eukaryota; Fungi; Ascomycota; Pichiomycetes; Serinales; Debaryomycetaceae.